This 88-nucleotide microRNA precursor is filed under the name Cicer arietinum (chickpea). RNAcentral's name for it is "mir-395 microRNA precursor family". It matches the Rfam family "mir-395 microRNA precursor family". From Rfam's summary of the family: mir-395 was identified in both Arabidopsis thaliana and Oryza sativa computationally and was later experimentally verified. mir-395 is thought to target mRNAs coding for ATP sulphurylases. The mature sequence is excised from the 3' arm of the hairpin. The record is from Rfam by way of RNAcentral. Lineage: Eukaryota; Viridiplantae; Streptophyta; Magnoliopsida; Fabales; Fabaceae.
UUGUUUCUUGGAGUUCCUCUGAACGCUUCAUAGAGAAUUAUUGAUAGUUCUAUCUCAAUGAAGUGUUUGGGGGAACUCCUAGUAUUCG